This 253-nucleotide ribosomal RNA is filed under the name uncultured bacterium. RNAcentral describes it as "partial 16S ribosomal RNA". It matches the Rfam family "Bacterial small subunit ribosomal RNA", at positions 524 to 776 of the family's 1533-position model. The record is from RNAcentral.
UACGGAGGAUGCAAGCGUUAUCCGGAAUGAUUGGGCGUAAAGCAUCCGCAGGUGGCGAUUCAAGUCGAUUGUCAAAGGUCGUGGCUCAACCACGAACAGGCAGUGGAAACUGAACAGCUAGAGUGCGGUAGGGGUAGAGGGAAUUCCCGGUGUAGCGGUGAAAUGCGUAGAGAUCGGGAAGAACACCAGUGGCGAAAGCGCUCUGCUAGGCCAAGACUGACACUGAGGGACGAAAGCCAGGGGAGCGAAUGGG